CUAAAUGUCAUUGCUUAGUUAUUCAUGUUCUCACUUGAAACCACAUCGUCAUCAACCUCUAGUUCAUACUAACACAAGAUACUACAAUGUUAACAGAUUAACAGGAGAGGUCUAGAUACUACAAUGUUAACAGAUUAACAGGAGAGGUCUAGAUACUACAAUGUUAACAGAUUAACAGGAGAGGUCUAGAUACUACAAUGUUAACAGAUUAACAGGAGAGGUCUAGAUACUACAAUGUUAACAGAUUAACAUGAGAGGUGUAGAUACUACAAUGUUAACAGAUUAACAGCAGAGGUCUAGAUACUACAAUGUUAACAGAUUAACAGGAGAGGUCUAGAUACUACAAUGUUAACAGAUUAACAGGAGAGGUCUAGAUACUACAAUGUUAACAGAUUAACAGCAGAGAUCUAGAUACUACAAUGUUAACAGAUUAACAGGAGAA
This 442-nucleotide long non-coding RNA is filed under the name Salmo salar (Atlantic salmon). RNAcentral's name for it is "lncRNA (ENSSSAG00000108403.1)". Lineage: Eukaryota; Metazoa; Chordata; Actinopteri; Salmoniformes; Salmonidae. The record is from RNAcentral.